GGACAUGGGAGCUCAUCUGUAAGAUUUUGCAGGUGUGAGGCCUGCCAAAUUUUCAAUAUCAUGUAGUUUCCUGAAAGGAUAUAAGCAGCAUCAGCCUUUCUUCAGAUGGUGAAGAAAAAAACCCUAUUAUUCUAUCAGUGACCUUUGGCAAGAAACUGCUCUCUUGAACUGUUCAUGUCUCUGGAGUGUUUGACUAAGGUUUCUUCUGGUCAGGUCAUCGACAAUCCAAAUGUCAGACAACAAUGUGGCCAUUUUUCAUCUUGAGGGUAGUAACGGCCCCUGGGGCACUACAGUACUAUGCCUUAUGGAUUGCCUUAUGAAUGGAGUUAUUUCAAUAUCUAUGAAUCCUCAAGAAAACUGGAUCCUUCCUCUACCAGUUAAAGUUUCAUUUGGUGACUUGCUGACCUGGAAAUGUUGGAGUAUCCAAUCCAUGGACCCCUCUCUCCUCCUUUCUGUCUACACUCAUUCCCUACAUGAUCUCAUGCAAAUUUAUGACUUUAUGUACCAUCUAAACCAUACCAUCUGAUGAACUUCG
Long non-coding RNA from Prionailurus viverrinus (fishing cat), 535 nucleotides. RefSeq lists it as uncharacterized. The transcript has 4 exons. Lineage: Eukaryota; Metazoa; Chordata; Mammalia; Carnivora; Felidae. The record is from RefSeq and is a predicted model, not a curated record.